AGUCAAGCUCUAGCAGAUCAAUUGGUGACAACUUGUCCUAUGUAAAUGCUGUUAAAGGGUGAGGUCUUGGGUUCGAGUAACGACAAACGCACCAACAACCUAAUUAUUGAGUCAGAGAGAACUCAUAAUGGAGGGGUUGGGGUCGGCUGUGAACCUGGGGCCCAGGGGGCGGGUUGUCACACAUAGCCCCCGCGCAAGCGCGGGGCUGGGUACAUUAUUGAUGUAUUGUGUAGUCUUAUGUAUGAGAUUUUUUUUUUAACUUUUGUUUUUCUGUGUUGUAUAUAAUCUAUAUUAUAAUAGAUUGAUUAGGUUGAUAUGAGAAUAACCGGUGAUUUUUUUAUGUGUUGAUAUUUCAUAUCUUAUGUGUGGACGUCUAAAAGAGUUUCCGAUUUAUCUUCAUGAAUCUGACAUCUAGCAAUAUUUUUCCCAUGAAUAUGUCAGACAGAGACCUACAUAUUCGCUGAGAUUCAACAUCUGACUUGCUGACUAAUUGUCAUCAUUAUUAGCUAUUCAGUAGAUCUGCAAGCUGUGCAAGUAUAAGAAAAUAAUUAUCUAUCACAGUUUAGAAACCCCAAACAAUAGUGAAACCUUUUAUUAGACAUAAAGAAAGAGAAUAUACAUAACCCUAUAAAU
This 633-nucleotide long non-coding RNA is filed under the name Brassica rapa (field mustard). RNAcentral's name for it is "long non-coding RNA (BRAP_LNC006801)". Lineage: Eukaryota; Viridiplantae; Streptophyta; Magnoliopsida; Brassicales; Brassicaceae. The record is from RNAcentral.